AUUAAGGUGGCAGAGUCAAGUAAUGCAAAAGACCUAAAAUCUUUCUACAGGGAAGCAAGUUCCCUUCUUAAUA
RNAcentral lists this transfer RNA (73 nucleotides) under Darevskia derjugini. RNAcentral's name for it is "tRNA-Leu". Lineage: Eukaryota; Metazoa; Chordata; Lepidosauria; Squamata; Lacertidae. The record is from RNAcentral.